GCGUCCAACCCCGUUCGCCGUAUCGACCCCGGCGCUCCGCACGGUGCCCGGCACGCGGUGAGCGCUUCGGAAAUACCGCGGCCGUGAUCAUCAUCGGGUUGAUUAUCGGUGCUAAGGGCUCCCUUCCGGAGUGCGGACCGCCAGGCCCGCGCGUCUAAAACCCGGGGCUGGACAGGCCUGCUCUAGACGCCAGGUUGUGGGCAGGCGGUGCGUCGGUUGGUUGGGGUAUUUUACUCUCCCCAGCGCUGGGCGCGGUGUUCUGCACGCGGUCAGCCCUCGGUAGAGAUGACCGAAGGAAUGAACCGUGGCGCUCUCCCAGGCGCCCACUACACAGAGGCGCUGGGGAGGACCCUUCCCGGAAGGGUCGGGGAAGAUCCCUUCCGGAGGAGCUGGGGAGAAUCCUUUCCGGAGGGGCCGGGGGAGAAUCCGCCCAACCCUCGAGGACCGGCUGUACCUGGGCCGGAGGGGCCUGCUCGGAUGACUGCAGCUCCCCGCGCCGGGCAAGCGACCGGGACCUGGGGGACUUGGUGAGCUUCCUUCUCAGGUGCCGGUACAGGGAGCGCUCGCUGGGCUCGGAGCACCGUAUUAAGCGCUCGGGAGAGUCCAGUCUGACACCGCGACGGACGCGUUCCCGGUCCGCCUCCAACUUGAAGCGAAAGAGAAGGGGAAAGGCGCAGCCUCUGGCCUCGAGGGGAUUACGGUCCGAAGAAUUCCGGUGUCCCCGUCACGCGGUCAGAGACGGAGCCCGGGUCGGGAGGACCGGCAGGGCUAAGCCGAGACCAGCUGGCCGGUGACUCCCGGUGGGCUCCCUUGUCACCGGCUGCAAAUUUAGGCCCGGGCUCCACCGGGCCGGGUGGGGACCAGGACCAGAGAGCCGUUGAUGAUAAUGAUGAUAAUGAUGGCGUUUGUUCGGCGCUUACUAUGUGCCAGGCACUGUUCUAAGCGCUGGGA
This is a long non-coding RNA of Ornithorhynchus anatinus (platypus), 951 nucleotides long. RefSeq lists it as uncharacterized. The record is from RefSeq and is a predicted model, not a curated record. NCBI's taxonomy places the organism in Eukaryota, Metazoa, Chordata, Mammalia, Monotremata, Ornithorhynchidae. The transcript is spliced from 3 exons.